Dryococelus australis is the source of this 73-nucleotide non-coding RNA. The record is from the annotation of a GenBank genome assembly. Lineage: Eukaryota; Metazoa; Arthropoda; Insecta; Phasmatodea; Phasmatidae.
GCGUUGGUGGUGUAAUGGCCAGCAUAGUUGCCUUCCAAGCAGUUGACCCCAGGUUCGAUUCUCAGCCAACGUA